Molecule: long non-coding RNA, 202 nt
Filed under: Mytilus galloprovincialis (Mediterranean mussel)
Lineage: Eukaryota; Metazoa; Mollusca; Bivalvia; Mytilida; Mytilidae
Source: RNAcentral
AGAAAAACACACGAUAAAAUAUCAAUUGGAAGGCUUAACUCAAUGAAAAAACGUAAAUUAACACACUAUGAACGAAUGAAUUUGAUCUGCGAUACCUGAAUGUAAAUACAUAGUUAAUAAAAUAUUAGGGACAACCAUUCAAGGCCAAAAAGCAAACAAACAUGUCCAAACAAAGCCAUGGCAAGAUACCACCGCGAAAUAU